RNAcentral lists this ribosomal RNA (491 nucleotides) under uncultured bacterium. Its description in RNAcentral is "bacterial SSU rRNA". It matches the Rfam family "Bacterial small subunit ribosomal RNA", at positions 903 to 1397 of the family's 1533-position model. The record is from RNAcentral.
AAAUGAAUAGACGGGGGCCCGCACAAGCGGUGGAGCAUGUGGUUUAAUUCGACGCAACGCGCAGAACCUUACCCAGACUUGACUUCCUUCGAAUCCGGCCCAAAAGCUGGAGUGCCCGCAAGGGAACGGAGAGACAGGUGCUGCAUGGCUGUCGUCAGCUCGUGUCGUGAGAUGUUGGGUUAAGUCCCGCAACGAGCGCAACCCUCGCCUUUAGUUGCUCCGCAAGGAGAUCUCUAGAGGGACCGCCAGUGAUAAGCUGGAGGAAGGUGGGGAUGACGUCAAGUCCUCAUGGCCUUUAUGUCUGGGGCUACACACGUGCUACAAUGGCCGGUACAAAGCGUUGCCAACUCGCGAGAGGGAGCCAAUCGCAUAAAACCGGUCUCAGUUCGGAUUGUAGUCUGCAACUCGGCUACAUGAAGUCGGAAUCGCUAGUAAUCGCAGAUCAGCACGCUGCGGUGAAUACGUUCCCGGGCCUUGUACACACCGCCCGU